This 253-nucleotide ribosomal RNA is filed under the name uncultured bacterium. RNAcentral describes it as "partial 16S ribosomal RNA". It matches the Rfam family "Bacterial small subunit ribosomal RNA", at positions 524 to 776 of the family's 1533-position model. The record is from RNAcentral.
UACAGAGGUCCCAAGCGUUGUUCGGAUUCAUUGGGCGUAAAGGGUGCGUAGGUGGCGCGCUAAGUCGGGUGUGAAAUUUCGGAGCUUAACUCCGAAACUGCAUUCGAUACUGGUGUGCUUGAGGACUGGAGAGGAGACUGGAAUUUAUGGUGUAGCAGUGAAAUGCGUAGAGAUCAUAAGGAAGACCAGUGGCGAAGGCGGGUCUCUGGACAGUUCCUGACACUGAGGCACGAAGGCCAGGGGAGCAAACGGG